CAUAUCAACCCUGAGGCGUGAUGACGAUGCACUACGGUGCAGAAGUAGUUGAUGCCCUGCUUCCAGGAAAAGCCUCUAAGCUCUAGGUAACAUUGAAUCGUACCCCAAACCGACACAGGUGGUCAGGUAGAGAAUACCAAGGCGCUUGAGAGAACUCGGGUGAAGGAACUAGGCAAAAUGGUGCCGUAACUUCGGGAGAAGGCACGCUGGCAUGUAGGUGAAGUCCCUUGCGGAUGGAGCUGAAGCCAGUCGAAGAUACCAGCUGGCUGCAACUGUUUAAUAAAAACACAGCACUGUGCAAACACGAAAGUGGACGUAUACGGUGUGACGCCUGCCCGGUGCUGGAAGGUUAAUUGAUGGGGUCAGCCGCAAGGCGAAGCUCUUGAUCGAAGCCCCAGUAAACGGCGGCCGUAACUAUAACGGUCCUAAGGUAGCGAAAUUCCUUGUCGGGUAAGUUCCGACCUGCACGAAUGGCGUAAUGAUGGCCAGGCUGUCUCCACCCGAGACUCAGUGAAAUUGAACUCGCUGUGAAGAUGCAGUGUACCCGCGGCAAGACGGAAAGACCCCGUGAACCUUUACUAUAGCUUGACACUGAACAUUGAGCCUUGAUGUGUAGGAUAGGUGGGAGGCUUUGAAGCGUGGACGCCAGUCUGCGUGGAGCCAUCCUUGAAAUACCACCCUUUAAUGUUUGAUGUUCUAACUCGGCCCCGUGAUCCGGGGUGAGGACAGUGUCUGGUGGGUAGUUUGACUGGGGCGGUCUCCUCCCAAAGAGUAACGGAGGAGCACGAAGGUUAGCUAAUCACGGUCGGACAUCGUGAGGUUAGUGCAAAGGCAUAAGCUAGCUUGACUGCGAGAGUGACGGCUCGAGCAGGUACGAAAGUAGGUCUUAGUGAUCCGGUGGUUCUGAAUGGAAGGGCCAUCGCUCAACGGAUAAAAGGUACUCCGGGGAUAACAGGCUGAUACCGCCCAAGAGUUCAUAUCGACGGCGGUGUUUGGCACCUCGAUGUCGGCUCAUCACAUCCUGGGGCUGAAGUAGGUCCCAAGGGUAUGGCUGUUCGCCAUUUAAAGUGGUACGCGAGCUGGGUUUAGAACGUCGUGAGACAGUUCGGUCCCUAUCUGCCGUGGGCGUUGGAAGAUUGAGAGGGGUUGCUCCUAGUACGAGAGGACCGGAGUGAACGCACCACUGGUGUUCGGGUUGUCAUGCCAAUGGCAUUGCCCGGUAGCUAAGUGCGGAAAAGAUAAGCGCUGAAAGCAUCUAAGCGCGAAACUUGCCUCAAGAUGAGUCUUCCCUGGGCCUUUAAGGCCCCUGAAGGAACGUUUAAGACUAAGACGUUGAUAGGCUGGGUGUGUAAGUGCAGCGAUGCAUUGAGCUAACCAGUACUAAUGAUCCGUGAGGCUUAACC
RNAcentral lists this ribosomal RNA (1403 nucleotides) under Serratia marcescens. Its description in RNAcentral is "bacterial LSU rRNA". It matches the Rfam family "Bacterial large subunit ribosomal RNA", at positions 1546 to 2925 of the family's 2925-position model. Lineage: Bacteria; Pseudomonadati; Pseudomonadota; Gammaproteobacteria; Enterobacterales; Yersiniaceae. The record is from RNAcentral.